AAUNCUUUGAGGACUGAAUUGGGGAAAGGAUCCAUGUGUGCAGAAAUUGGNCGUGGAUUAGUCAAUCCUAAACUAUAUGGUAGUUCCGUUYGAAAGUGCGYACUUGUGUGCCGUAUGGAGAAAGGGAAGCCCGUAAAUAUUCCGGCACCUGGCUGUGGAUUCUCCCCCGCAACGUAACUGAYCGCAGACACAACUGAYGGAGCCCUGGGAAGAGUUAUCUUUUCUUCUUAACGGCCUAUCACCCUGAAAUCGGUUUGUCCGGACCUAGGGUUUAACGGUCGGCAGAGCCUUACACUUUUGUAAGGACCGGUGCGUUCCCGACGUCCCUUGAAAAUCCGCGGGAAGGAAUAAUUUUCACGCCAGGUCGUACUCAUAACCGCCCCAGGUCUCCCAGGUGAAAAGCCUCUAUUUGAUAGAACAAUGUAUAUAAGGGAAGUCGGCCGAAUAGAUCCGUAACUUCCGGAAAAGGAUUGGCUCUAAGGAUUGAGUGCGUUGGGCCUUGGGUGAACACCCGGGGAGCAAGUGACUUCUAUCCGGGCAACCGGCCGGCGGUUGCCAGCAUCCCGCGGUUGACGCCCUUGGCAGUCUUCGGGCGUCCGGCGUGCGAUUAACAAUCAACUUANAUCUGGUACGGACAAGGGGAAUCUGACUGUCUAAUUA
Molecule: ribosomal RNA, 660 nt
Filed under: Parmeliella sp. Spribille 24486 (KLGO)
Lineage: Eukaryota; Fungi; Ascomycota; Lecanoromycetes; Peltigerales; Pannariaceae
Description: LSU rRNA
Rfam family: Eukaryotic large subunit ribosomal RNA
Source: RNAcentral